GAUGAACUCUGGCGGCGUGCCUAAUACAUGCAAGUCGAGCGAACGGACGAGAAGCUUGCUUCUCUGAUGUUAGCGGCGGACGGGUGAGUAACACGUGGAUAACCUACCUAUAAGACUGGGAUAACUUCGGGAAACCGGAGCUAAUACCAGAUAAUAUUUUGAACCGCAUGGUUCAAAAGUGAAAGACGGUCUUGCUGUCACUUAUAGAUGGAUCCGCGCUGCAUUAGCUAGUUGGUAAGGUAACGGCUUACCAAGGCAACGAUGCAUAGCCGACCUGAGAGGGUGAUCGGCCACACUGGAACUGAGACACGGUCCAGACUCCUACGGGAGGCAGCAGUAGGGAAUCUUCCGCAAUGGGCGAAAGCCUGACGGAGCAACGCCGCGUGAGUGAUGAAGGUCUUCGGAUCGUAAAACUCUGUUAUUAGGGAAGAACAUAUGUGUAAGUAACUGUGCACAUCUUGACGGUACCUAAUCAGAAAGCCACGGCUAACUACGUGCCAGCAGCCGCGGUAAUACGUAGGUGGCAAGCGUUAUCCGGAAUUAUUGGGCGUAAAGCGCGCGUAGGCGGUUUUUUAAGUCUGAUGUGAAAGCCCACGGCUCAACCGUGGAGGGUCAUUGGAAACUGGAAAACUUGAGUGCAGAAGAGGAAAGUGGAAUUCCAUGUGUAGCGGUGAAAUGCGCAGAGAUAUGGAGGAACACCAGUGGCGAAGGCGACUUUCUGGUCUGUAACUGACGCUGAUGUGCGAAAGCGUGGGGAUCAAACAGGAUUAGAUACCCUGGUAGUCCACGCCGUAAACGAUGAGUGCUAAGUGUUAGGGGGUUUCCGCCCCUUAGUGCUGCAGCUAACGCAUUAAGCACUCCGCCUGGGGAGUACGACCGCAAGGUUGAAACUCAAAGGAAUUGACGGGGACCCGCACAAGCGGUGGAGCAUGUGGUUUAAUUCGAAGCAACGCGAAGAACCUUACCAAAUCUUGACAUCCUUUGACAACUCUAGAGAUAGAGCCUUCCCCUUCGGGGGACAAAGUGACAGGUGGUGCAUGGUUGUCGUCAGCUCGUGUCGUGAGAUGUUGGGUUAAGUCCCGCAACGAGCGCAACCCUUAAGCUUAGUUGCCAUCAUUAAGUUGGGCACUCUAAGUUGACUGCCGGUGACAAACCGGAGGAAGGUGGGGAUGACGUCAAAUCAUCAUGCCCCUUAUGAUUUGGGCUACACACGUGCUACAAUGGACAAUACAAAGGGCAGCGAAACCGCGAGGUCAAGCAAAUCCCAUAAAGUUGUUCUCAGUUCGGAUUGUAGUCUGCAACUCGACUACAUGAAGCUGGAAUCGCUAGUAAUCGUAGAUCAGCAUGCUACGGUGAAUACGUUCCCGGGUCU
RNAcentral lists this ribosomal RNA (1372 nucleotides) under uncultured bacterium. Its description in RNAcentral is "bacterial SSU rRNA". It matches the Rfam family "Bacterial small subunit ribosomal RNA", at positions 28 to 1381 of the family's 1533-position model. The record is from RNAcentral.